Molecule: ribosomal RNA, 275 nt
Filed under: uncultured bacterium
Lineage: Bacteria
Description: partial 16S ribosomal RNA
Rfam family: Bacterial small subunit ribosomal RNA
Source: RNAcentral
CCUACGGGUGGCUGCAGUAAGGAAUAUUGGACAAUGGGCGCAAGCCUGAUCCAGCCAUGCCGCGUGCAGGAAGACGGCCCUAUGGGUUGUAAACUGCUUUUGUACCAGAGAAAACCUAUCUACGUGUAGAUAGCUGAUAGUAUGGUAAGAAUAAGCAUCGGCUAACUUCGUGCCAGCAGCCGCGGUAAGACGAAGGAUGCAAGCGUUAUCCGGAUUCAUUGGGUUUAAAGGGUGCGUAGGCGGGCUUGUAAGUCAGUGGUGAAAUCUCUCAGCUU